GCAUCUAGUGUUAAGACUUCCGAGCCUUUGCGUGGUAAAGCGAGGAGUUAACGAUCGAAAGCGAGGAGUUAAGGUUCGUAUUCUAAAAGAAGAGGAGGAGGUAAGAGGAACUUGACGGAGAGUAAGGAAGGCGGACCAAGGCUGAGCGUGAGAAACGACAACCACCAUUGUUUAUUAAACUGCUUCACUGCUUUGAAGCACGGUAUUUCUUCUCGGUGACUACUCAUACAGUCUUCAGCUCCGGCGAGAUCCUAGGGUUUGGGUUUGGGUUUGGAUUU
This 278-nucleotide unclassified non-coding RNA is filed under the name Hevea brasiliensis (rubber tree). The record is from RNAcentral. Lineage: Eukaryota; Viridiplantae; Streptophyta; Magnoliopsida; Malpighiales; Euphorbiaceae.